CGAACGCUGGCGGCGUGCUUAACACAUGCAAGUCGAAACGCGAAAGGGACUUCGGUCCUGAGUAAAGUGGCGCACGGGUGAGUAACGCGUAGAUAACCUGUCUUCAUGUCUGGAAUAAUACGCCGAAAGGGGUACUAAUACCGGAUAUUCUUGCUUUUCAUAAGUUAUGCAAGCAAAGGUGGCCUCUGCAUAUGCUACUGCAUGAAGAGGGGUCUGCGUACCAUUAGCUAGUAGGUGGGGUAAUGGCCUACCUAGGCGACGAUGGUUAGCGGGUCUGAGAGGAUGAUCCGCCACACUGGCACUGGAACACGGGCCAGACUCCUACGGGAGGCAGCAGUGAGGAAUAUUGCGCAAUGGGGGAAACCCUGACGCAGCGACGCCGCGUGAGUGAAGGAAGGCCUUCGGGUCGUAAAGCUCUGUCAAGAGGAAAGAAGUGUACAAUGGCUAAUACCUGUUGUAUUUGACGGUACCUCUAAAGGAAGCACCGGCUAACUCCGUGCCAGCAGCCGC
This 510-nucleotide ribosomal RNA is filed under the name uncultured bacterium. Its description in RNAcentral is "bacterial SSU rRNA". It matches the Rfam family "Bacterial small subunit ribosomal RNA", at positions 30 to 518 of the family's 1533-position model. The record is from RNAcentral.